Peromyscus maniculatus bairdii (prairie deer mouse) is the source of this 669-nucleotide non-coding RNA. Lineage: Eukaryota; Metazoa; Chordata; Mammalia; Rodentia; Cricetidae. The record is from RefSeq and is a predicted model, not a curated record.
GCUCCCUUCUCCCACCACGCAGGCAGGAGUGGUCCACCCCACCCCACAGCUCAUCCCACCGUACCCCAUCCCACACCACGCUGUCAGUUUCACAGCGGUCCUGGAAAUUUCUCUGAGUAGUUUGUCUCUCCUGGUGUGUGUGAGGGGCGUGGUAAAACCAAAUGGCAGCCCUGUGGGUAGAAAAGGGAAAGGUCUGUUCCAAACCGCCAAAGCUGUCUCGGGGAAAGUAGAGAGAAGCAAGAGGGGAAGAUCUCCAAGCAGAAAUCCUCCUGUACGCCAGGCUGAGCUCAUUUCUGGCCAUUCGGACUCCAUUUUGAGGUUUGGGGAGCUGGAGUUUCCUUUGGACCGGACACUAGCACACUAUGAAGAAGACCACGAAUCCUGCCAGCUCCAGGUGUUUCCUCAAAAUCUGUAUCCCAGAACCUUCAGAGCGGCGGCCCUAGGUGUCCCAGCCUCAUAAAGUACUUCAGUUGCUGCCUGCAAGUCUCUAGCCCCAGAAGGUCUCACAGAGCCUUGUCAGCGAGUGAAGCAGCCUGCUCUUCCUAGACUUGGCCCAGCAUCCCAGCUUUCUUGGCUCCCCAAAGAUGUUGAUGCCCCCAGACAACAGGAAGCAGUCUAAAGAAAAUGGCGCCCCCGUUCCUGCCUCACCAGUCACCCCUUCCUAUUCCC